AGGACGAACGCUGGCGGCGUGCUUAACACAUGCAAGUCGAGCGGAAAGGCCUUUCGGGGUACUCGAGCGGCGAACGGGUGAGUAACACGUGAGUAAUCUGCCCAUCGCUUCAGGAUAGCCAUCGGAAACGGUGAUUAAUACUGGAUAUGACAUUCCUUCGCAUGUUGGGGUGUGGAAAGUUUUUUCGGCGGUGGAUGUGCUCGCGGCCUAUCAGCUUGUUGGUGGGUAAUGGCCUACAAGGCUUUGACGGGUAGCCGGCUGGAGAGGGUGACCGGCCACACGUGGGACUGGAGACACGGCCCAGACCUCCGUACGGGAGCAGCGAGGUGGGAAUGUGGACAAGUGGGACGAAGCCUGAUCCAGCAACGCCGCGUGAGGAUGACGGUCCGUUCGGGUUACGUAACCUC
RNAcentral lists this ribosomal RNA (407 nucleotides) under uncultured soil bacterium. RNAcentral describes it as "bacterial SSU rRNA". It matches the Rfam family "Bacterial small subunit ribosomal RNA", at positions 26 to 433 of the family's 1533-position model. The record is from RNAcentral.